Lolium rigidum is the source of this 922-nucleotide long non-coding RNA. RefSeq lists it as uncharacterized. The transcript has 3 exons. Lineage: Eukaryota; Viridiplantae; Streptophyta; Magnoliopsida; Poales; Poaceae. The record is from RefSeq and is a predicted model, not a curated record.
UUAGGUAUUUAGGUGUACUUCGAGUCUGCACAUGUCAAUCAGCUUCCAUUGCCAACGAAGAAUUUCAUCCAACAUCUUCUCAAGUUCACAUGCCUUACCUGCAUCUAGUGGUUCAGGAUGCUCUAAUAUGUAUCUUUCUCAACUUCCUCAUGAUUACUGAAUGUAACACUGGUUAACAAUAAUUUAGGUUAAUAUGCAGGGACCUUAUGGAUCCGAAUGGCCUUCAGAAGAGAAAAUUAAGUGCUAGGAAAUGGUUGCUCCAGAAGCACAAUAUAUCCCUUUCAGGAAAAUUGCAAAUAUCUGUAUUGCAAAAAGUUCUAGGAAGCAAGAUGCAGGGGUGGAAUCACUGGAAUAGUGGAAUGUACAGAUGGAGCAUGUAGUGGAGAUCGCUUGCUUUGUAUUGUACACUCCAGGUUUGUUCUUGCCUUCUUGGAGAGGAUGUGCUCAGUGUUUAUGUGUAUGAGAUACAGUUGGAGUCUACUUCCCAAGGAAAUGGGUUUGGGAAGUUUCUAAUGCAGUUGAUUGAACCUCGCAAGGUGAUCUAUCUUCUUAAGCAGCUGCAUUCUGAAUGUUAUGUUAAGGUAGAGGCUGUCAUGGCAGCUCUUCUGAUUUAUGCAUGUUUCUUUUUGCCUGAUUGCAAUUUUGAUGACAUCUUGGCUUGAUUGAUCAUAAAACUUAUCCACAGUGCAUCUGCAUAUGCAGAGUCAAAUAAGAUCCAUGAUGCUAACAGUUCCAAAACCUAAUACGGAAGCUAUGGCUUUCUACAAUAAGUUGAGAUAUGCCAUAUCCUACCUCACCAUCACGAGUGGAUCUGCUGAUCAGGAUUGGUACAAGCUAUGAGAUUUUGUGCAAGACAUUUGACGCUGAAGCUAAGUGCAACCUGGAGGUGCGUAGCAUGUUCGAUAUUGAAUAAAGUCACUGC